Heteronotia binoei (common prickly gecko) is the source of this 520-nucleotide long non-coding RNA. RefSeq lists it as uncharacterized. The record is from RefSeq and is a predicted model, not a curated record. The transcript is spliced from 3 exons. Lineage: Eukaryota; Metazoa; Chordata; Lepidosauria; Squamata; Gekkonidae.
ACUUUAUGUAAUUAAUUGUAGAAAAUACAAACAUCUUUCUUGGAAACACCUAAAACUUGUAGCUUAGAUUCUUUAUCAGUUAAUUCCAAACAGAACACAUCCCAAAAUUUUACUCCUGUUAAUGUGAACAAGUUGGAAUGCGCAGAGAAGUCUUGUUGGACACCUGCAAAGACAUAUACUGUGAAAACACCUCCUAAAUCAAAACUGUUACAAGAAAGCUCCAAUCUACUUUCAGAAGAAGGAACACAGAAAAGGAGAAAAGUUUUCCUAGAACUGGAUAGUCGAUCAGACACCUCUGAGAGCAAUGAUCUCUUGAGUAUCACAUCAGAUCAAGAAAGGGUUAAAAAACUGUACAAAGAUUAUCCACAAGCUUCUCGCCUAUGUGCCAUGACACCAAAAAAGGUAUCUUUUUAGUAUGACUUUAAAACAGAAUAAAUGUUACAACGUGCUUCUUACAAAAAUAAAUUGAUAUUUUAAUAUUUUUUAAAGGUCCACACUCUAUCCUGUCAGAAAACUGGAU